RNAcentral lists this ribosomal RNA (547 nucleotides) under uncultured bacterium. Its description in RNAcentral is "bacterial SSU rRNA". It matches the Rfam family "Bacterial small subunit ribosomal RNA", at positions 355 to 896 of the family's 1533-position model. The record is from RNAcentral.
UGGGGAAUAUUGCGCAAUGGGGGGAACCCUGACGCAGCCAUGCCGCGUGAAUGAAGAAGGCCUUCGGGUUGUAAAGUUCUUUCGGUAUUGAGGAAGGUUGAUGUGUUAAUAGCACAUCAAAUUGACGUUAAAUACAGAAGAAGCACCGGCUAACUCCGUGCCAGCAGCCGCGGUAAUACGGAGGGUGCGAGCGUUAAUCGGAAUAACUGGGCGUAAAGGGCACGCAGGCGGUUAUUUAAGUGAGGUGUGAAAGCCCCGGGCUUAACCUGGGAAUUGCAUUUCAGACUGGGUAACUAGAGUACUUUAGGGAGGGGUAGAAUUCCACGUGUAGCGGUGAAAUGCGUAGAGAUGUGGAGGAAUACCGAAGGCGAAGGCAGCCCCUUGGGAAUGUACUGACGCUCAUGUGCGAAAGCGUGGGGAGCAAACAGGAUUAGAUACCCUGAUAGUCCACGCUGUAAACGCUGUCGAUUUGGGGGUUGGGGUUUAACUCUGGCGCCCGUAGCUAACGUGAUAAAUCGACCGCCUGGGGAGUACGGCCGCAAGGUUA